GACACGGGGUGCAAUUAUUUGCUUGAUUGUAAUUGCUGAGAUUAUACCCGUCGAACCUGAUAUAGCUAGUACUAUCGAAGGGAAUGUCGA
RNAcentral lists this non-coding RNA (90 nucleotides) under uncultured Bifidobacterium sp. Its description in RNAcentral is "TPP riboswitch (THI element)". It matches the Rfam family "TPP riboswitch aptamer (THI element)", at positions 7 to 92 of the family's 105-position model. Rfam says of the family: Vitamin B(1) in its active form thiamin pyrophosphate (TPP) is an essential coenzyme that is synthesised by coupling of pyrimidine and thiazole moieties in bacteria. The previously detected thiamin-regulatory element, thi box was extended, resulting in a new, highly conserved RNA secondary structure, the THI element, which is widely distributed in eubacteria and also occurs in some archaea. The record is from RNAcentral. Lineage: Bacteria; Bacillati; Actinomycetota; Actinomycetes; Bifidobacteriales; Bifidobacteriaceae.